GACGAACGCUGGCGGCGUGCCUAAUACAUGCAAGUAGAACGCUGAAGAGAGGAGCUUGCUCUUCUUGGAUGAGUUGCGAACGGGUGAGUAACGCGUAGGUAACCUGCCUUGUAGCGGGGGAUAACUAUUGGAAACGAUAGCUAAUACCGCAUAACAAUGGAUGACACAUGUCAUUUAUUUGAAAGGGGCAAUUGCUCCACUACAAGAUGGACCUGCGUUGUAUUAGCUAGUAGGUGAGGUAAUGGCUCACCUAGGCGACGAUACAUAGCCGACCUGAGAGGGUGAUCGGCCACACUGGGACUGAGACACGGCCCAGACUCCUACGGGAGGCAGCAGUAGGGAAUCCUCGGCAAUGGGGGCAACCCCGACCGAGCAACGCCGCGUGAGUGAAGAAGGUUUUCGGAUCGUAAAGCUCUGUUGUAAGUCAAGAACGGGUGUGAGAGUGGAAAGUUCACACUGUGACGGUAGCUUACCAGAAAGGGACGGCUAACUACGUG
Molecule: ribosomal RNA, 497 nt
Filed under: uncultured bacterium
Lineage: Bacteria
Description: partial 16S ribosomal RNA
Rfam family: Bacterial small subunit ribosomal RNA
Source: RNAcentral